Molecule: transfer-messenger RNA, 359 nt
Filed under: Gammaproteobacteria bacterium
Lineage: Bacteria; Pseudomonadati; Pseudomonadota; Gammaproteobacteria
Rfam family: transfer-messenger RNA
About the family: Bacterial tmRNA, also known as 10Sa RNA or SsrA, is named for its dual tRNA and mRNA-like properties. Its role is to liberate the mRNA from a stalled ribosome. To accomplish this part of the tmRNA is used as a reading frame that ends in a translation stop signal.
Source: RNAcentral
GGGGGCGUACCUGGUUUCGACGCGGGUGCUGAAUCCCAAGGGGCAUGCCGAGGUGCAGAUCACCUCGUUAAUCCAUCUGCAAACUUAAAUAGUUGACGAAAAGUACAACUACGCUCUGGCUGCUUAAACGCCGGCCAGCCCCUGACUGAAUUGUGCUUGUGCAUUCAACUCAGGGGUCACAAACACAAGCUCGCGAUGAAGUCCGUCCCGGGCGGAUUCGCUAAAUCUUAAGGGACUCGUUGCUUGCGUUCCCCUGCCGUUUCGGGUAACAGGCGAUUAAAUUUAAAGAGACGGCUAAGCAUGUAGAACCGAAGGCUGAUGGCUUGCGGACGCCGGUUCGACUCCGGCCGCCUCCACCA